UACGGAGGGUGCAAGCGUUGUCCGGAUUUAUUGGGUUUAAAGGGUGCGUAGGCGGUCUUUUAAGUCAGUGGUGAAAUCCUCCAGCUUAACUGGAGAACUGCCAUUGAUACUGGGAGACUUGAGUACAGACGAGGUAGGCGGAAUUGACAGUGUAGCGGUGAAAUGCUUAGAUAUCGUCAAGAACACCGAUAGUGAAGACAGCUUACUAGGCUUCUACUGACGCUGAGGCACGAAAGUGUGGGGAUCAAACAGG
RNAcentral lists this ribosomal RNA (253 nucleotides) under uncultured bacterium. RNAcentral describes it as "partial 16S ribosomal RNA". It matches the Rfam family "Bacterial small subunit ribosomal RNA", at positions 524 to 776 of the family's 1533-position model. The record is from RNAcentral.